UGGCGAACGGGUGAGUAACACGUGGGCAACCUGCCCAAAGGAGGGGGAUAACACUUGGAAACAGGUGCUAAUACCGCAUAACCAUAGUUACCGCAUGGUAACUAUGUAAAAGGUGGCUAUGCUACCGCUUUUGGAUGGGCCCGCGGCGCAUUAGCUAGUUGGUGGGGUAAAGGCUUACCAAGGCAAUGAUGCGUAGCCGAACUGAGAGGUUGAUCGGCCACAUUGGGACUGAGACACGGCCCAAACUCCUACGGAAGGCAGCAG
This 264-nucleotide ribosomal RNA is filed under the name uncultured bacterium. RNAcentral's name for it is "partial 16S ribosomal RNA". It matches the Rfam family "Bacterial small subunit ribosomal RNA", at positions 96 to 354 of the family's 1533-position model. The record is from RNAcentral.